AUGUAUAUGUAGAUGGUCGAGAGA
This 24-nucleotide small nuclear RNA is filed under the name Arabidopsis thaliana (thale cress). RNAcentral describes it as "snRNA_15030". The record is from RNAcentral. Lineage: Eukaryota; Viridiplantae; Streptophyta; Magnoliopsida; Brassicales; Brassicaceae.